AGGACGAACGCUGGCGGCGUGCCUAACACAUGCAAGUCGAACGAGGUCCAUCCGGUAGCAAUACUGGUGAAGAUCAAGUGGCGAACGGGUGAGUAGCACGUGAGCAACCUGCCCCGAAGACCGGGACAACACCGGGAAACCGGUGCUAAUACCGGAUAUCCCCACCGAGUCGCAUGGCUUGGUGAGGAAAUGGAUUCCGCUUCGGGAGGGCUCGCGGCCUAUCAGCUUGUUGGUGAGGUAAUGGCUCACCAAGGCUUCGACGGGUAGCUGGUCUGAGAGGACGAUCAGCCACACUGGGACUGAGACACGGCCCAGACUCCUACGGGAGGCAGCAGUGGGGAAUCUUGCACAAUGGGCGAAAGCCUGAUGCAGCAACGCCGCGUGAGGGACGAAGGCUUUCUGAGUUGUAAACCUCUUUCAGCAGGGACGAUUGUGACGGUACCUGCAGAAGAAGCCCGGCAACUACGCGCCAGCAGCCG
This 479-nucleotide ribosomal RNA is filed under the name uncultured bacterium. RNAcentral's name for it is "SSU rRNA". It matches the Rfam family "Bacterial small subunit ribosomal RNA", at positions 26 to 517 of the family's 1533-position model. The record is from RNAcentral.